AUAUAUAAAGGAAAAUUUAGGAAUAUGUGACAAAGGUUAAACAAAGUUAAUUAAAAGAUACAAAUUAUUUCACAAAAUAAUGAGGAUGAAUAUUCAAACAAAAUAAUCAAAAGUUACAAAUCAUUUCACAUAACAAUGAGGAUGACUGGACAGAGUAACAGGGCAUGUGAGAAGCGACGCGAUUGAGUGACGCGAUAAACGAGAUCUUCGAGCUGAAGUUUGGUGACUUCUCUGCCUUCUUCCACCCACUGGUUCAGAAUAGGACUUUGUCUUCAAUGAGUGAGAGACACUUUGAAGUUGUGUUUCCUGGACAAAGGAGAAGAUUAAUUAGUGCUGCAUCUUCAACUUAGAUAAAGUUAUUUUCCUUCAUUCAUACAGAUGCCAAAUCAGGCUAUAAAUACAAGUCCCAAAGCAGUACAUAAAGGCAUCUGAACUUUGAAUCAAUUACUAGAAAGAAAAGCAGUUUAUUGUUGUCAUGACGCAGAAUAAGAGAGGAUGAUGAAGCUUGAUCAGAUUUCUUAAGUAUUCAAUCAGUGAUGCAUAUUUAUGUUAUAAGGAAGAAGUAUACUUAACAAGCUUUUCUCAUCAGUUCUAGCAUUUGACUCACAUUCACCUGCUAAAGAAACUAAAGUAGCAACUGAUCUCGUGAUUCAACAACAGCAAGAGCCAAGGAAAAGACAGACUACUCUCCAGCACAAGUAAAAAUUUGAGCAUCUCACAUAUGCAUAACAAAAAUAAACCCUUCUAUAGCAUGAAUCAACCUCACUAUUUUUUAAAGAUGUCAUCAGAGGAUUUUGAGCACUCGCUUUUAUUCUUUCAACCAACAUGACCACCAAAUAUUAGGAAUGGUAUGAACAAAAAAGAUCACCUUUGGAAGUUACAUAAAGUGUGUGCACGAGGGGUCACAUUUAAAAUCAUCAAAGGGAAGAUACAAACAUCACCAAGCAGAGUAUAACCAAAGUGCUUCAGUAAAUAAAUCAUCAGGUAGCUAGGUCUACAGCUAAACAAAAUGUCAAAACAACAAUAUCAGGAGAUCCUCUUGUAAGGCCGAUUAUAUGUAUAAAUCUGGCAUCCAACCUUUGCAACAUUUAAUGCAUUAUUUAGCAUCUAGCCAUCUACAUAUAUGAGAUGACUCAAAAACAAGAAAGAGUUGAGAGAAAUAGAAACCACAUUUGUAAAGCU
Molecule: long non-coding RNA, 1182 nt
Filed under: Glycine max (soybean)
Lineage: Eukaryota; Viridiplantae; Streptophyta; Magnoliopsida; Fabales; Fabaceae
Description: long non-coding RNA (GMAX_LNC002626)
Source: RNAcentral